CCUACGGGAGGCAGCAGUGAGGAAUAUUGGUCAAUGGGCGCGAGCCUGAACCAGCCAAGUCGCGUGAGGGAAGACGGCCCUACGGGUUGUAAACCUCUUUUGCCGGGGAACAACGGGCGCCACGUGUGGCGCCACUGAUAGUACCCGGAGAAAAAGCAUCGGCUAACUCCUGACCAGCAGCCGCGGUAAUACGAAGGAUGCGAGGGUUAUCCGGAUUUAUUGGGUUUAAAGGGUGCGUAGGCGGAGCGUUAAGUCAGUGGUCAAAUUGAGGUGCUCAACCCCUUCCCGCCAUUGAAACUGGCGCUCUUGAGUGGAAGAGAAGUAUGCGGAAUGCGUGGUGUAGCGGUGAAAUGCAUAGAUAUCACGCAGAAACCCGAUUGCGAAGGCAGCAUGCCGGCUUCCGACUGACGCUGAAGCACGAAAGCGUGGGGAUCGAACAGGAUUAGAUACCCUUGUAGUC
Molecule: ribosomal RNA, 460 nt
Filed under: uncultured bacterium
Lineage: Bacteria
Description: partial 16S ribosomal RNA
Rfam family: Bacterial small subunit ribosomal RNA
Source: RNAcentral